GACGAACGUUGGCGGCGUGCUUAAUACAUGCAAGUCAACUGAAGCAGUGGUAGCAAUAUCGCUGUGGAGGUUGCGCACGGGUGAGUAACACGUAGGUAAUCUGCCUUCAGGUCUGGCAUAACUCCGGGAAACCGGGGCUAAUAGCAGAUGAUGCAGCGGCUCGACAUCGAGACAGUUGUUAAAGCUAUGGCGCCUGCAGAUGAGCCUGCGUCUGAUUAGCUAGUUGGCGGGGUAACGGCCCACCAAGGCAACGAUCAGUAGCUGGUCUGAGAGGAUGAUCAGCCACACUGGAACUGAGACACGGUCGAGACUCCUACGGGAGGCAGCAGUAAGGAAUAUUGCUAAAUGGGAGAAAUCCUGAAGCAGCAACGCCGCGUGAGGGACGAAGGGCUUUUGCUUGUAAACCUCUGUAGUGAGAGAAAAAAAUCCCAAUCUUUGGGACAUGAUGGUAUCUCAAAAGUAAGCCCCGGCUAACUACGUG
RNAcentral lists this ribosomal RNA (481 nucleotides) under uncultured bacterium. Its description in RNAcentral is "partial 16S ribosomal RNA". It matches the Rfam family "Bacterial small subunit ribosomal RNA", at positions 28 to 507 of the family's 1533-position model. The record is from RNAcentral.